RNAcentral lists this ribosomal RNA (242 nucleotides) under Anaerolineales bacterium. Its description in RNAcentral is "partial 23S ribosomal RNA". It matches the Rfam family "Bacterial large subunit ribosomal RNA", at positions 2685 to 2925 of the family's 2925-position model. Lineage: Bacteria; Bacillati; Chloroflexota; Anaerolineae; Anaerolineales. The record is from RNAcentral.
GAGAGGACCGGAGUGGACAGACCUCUAGUGUGCCAGUUGUUCCGCCAGGAGCAUCGCUGGGUAGCCAUGUCUGGCAAAGAUAACCGCUGAAAGCAUCUAAGUGGGAAACUUGCCCUAAGAUUAGAUCCCUGUAUUCCCGUAAGGGAGUAAGACCCCAGAUAGACUAUCUGGUAUAUAGGCAAUAUGUGUAAGCACAGUAAUGUGUUCAGCUAAAUUGUACUAAUGGUCGAGGGCUUCAUCCC